UACAGAGGGUGCAAGCGUUGUUCGGAAUUAUUGGGCGUAAAGCGCGUGUAGGCGGCCCGGCAAGUCAGGUGUGAAAGCCCUCGGCUUAACCGAGGAAGUGCGCCUGAAACUAUCGGGCUUGAGUACCGGAGAGGGCGGCGGAAUUCCCGGUGUAGAGGUGAAAUUCGUAGAUAUCGGGAGGAACACCAGCGGCGAAGGCGGCCGCCUGGACGGUCACUGACGCUGAGACGCGAAAGCGUGGGAGC
RNAcentral lists this ribosomal RNA (245 nucleotides) under uncultured bacterium. RNAcentral's name for it is "partial 16S ribosomal RNA". It matches the Rfam family "Bacterial small subunit ribosomal RNA", at positions 524 to 769 of the family's 1533-position model. The record is from RNAcentral.